This is a long non-coding RNA of Phyllostomus discolor (pale spear-nosed bat), 705 nucleotides long. RefSeq lists it as uncharacterized. The transcript has 2 exons. The record is from RefSeq and is a predicted model, not a curated record. NCBI's taxonomy places the organism in Eukaryota, Metazoa, Chordata, Mammalia, Chiroptera, Phyllostomidae.
CAUAUAAACACAGGCAGGAAUGUAACAGAUAAUACAUCUUUAGGAGAAAACUGUAACCAUCCAUAAAAGUGAGCAGGCAAACAGCCUACUUAACACAAAGUAGUUUCUUUCAUGAUGUCCAUAGCAGCACAGAGUAGCAAGCUGGCCAAAUGGGUUCAUAACAUGUGGUAUAUUUAGACAUGGAAUAAUACACAGCAGGGAACUGGUUGGACUACAGAGACAUGCAGCAACAUGCUUGUUUCUUAGGAAGUGAACAUUGUAGACCAAAGACUCAGAAAACUUUGUCCUAUGUAGCAUAAUUUAAUAAAGGUAAGGAAUAUGAAAAUGUACACUCUAUAACUUAAGAAUACAUACAUAUACAGUUAAACAAUUUUUAACUAUGAUUCAUAAAGAAUUCAACAUUGAGAUUACCUCUGGAAAGAGGGAAAGGAAUGAUAUACACAGGUAACUUCAAUAUUGAUCAUAUUCUGGGUAUUAAUUGAAUAUAUUAUUCAUAUGCAUUAAAAAUAUGUAAUAAAAUUUUUAAAAAAGAAAAGUUCUAAUUUUUUUUAGUUAGGAAAAAACUCUUACAAAACAUAGAUGAUGUUCCUACAAUAAAAUGAAAGCAAUUCCAUUUUCUUCCUAGUUUGUGAUGUUCUGGAGGGCUGCAUGCUGAAAAAAAAUUUUUUUUAAGAUAAGAUGGAAAACCAAAAUUUUGUUUAUAUA